UCAAACUUGGUCAUUUAGAGGAAGUAAAAGUCGUAACAAGGUUUCCGUAGGUGAACCUGCGGAAGGAUCAUUAAAAGUAUAUAGUUAUACAUUCUGUGUAUCGACUAAAUAUACCCAUUCUGAGUACCUUGCCUGUUGCUUCCAUGGAGCCUGACACAUGUCACUCUGGGGAUUUACAUCCCGAGGGAGCCUCCGUGGAAGGUAAUCAAUUAACUCUUGAAUCCAAUGUCAUCUGUCUGAUAAUGUUUAUAACAAAUGUUAAAACUUUCAACAACGGAUCUCUUGGUUCUCGCAUCGAUGAAGAACGCAGCGAAAUGCGAUAAGUAGUGUGAAUUGCAGAAUUCAGUGAAUCAUCGAAUCUUUGAACGCACAUUGCGCCUCCUGGUAUUCCGGGAGGCAUGCCUGUUCGAGCGUCAUUAAAUACCACUCAAGCUCUUCUGCUUGGUCUUGGAAGAAGAGAAUGCUUGCAUCCUCUCUUCUGAAAUCGAACGGCGGACUGCCUCAUGUGCCUCGCGUAGUAAGUUCAUCUUUUCGCUUGGAGUGUGAGAUAGUCUCGCCAUCAACCCCCAUACUUCUAAGGUUGACCUCGGAUCAGGUAGGGAUACCCGCUGAACUUAAGCAUAUCAAUAAG
Molecule: ribosomal RNA, 631 nt
Filed under: uncultured Wilcoxina
Lineage: Eukaryota; Fungi; Ascomycota; Pezizomycetes; Pezizales; Pyronemataceae
Description: eukaryotic LSU rRNA
Rfam family: 5.8S ribosomal RNA (bases 263-416)
Source: RNAcentral